GAGGGUGUAGCUCAGUGGUAGAGUGAGUGCAUGUGUGCUUAGAAUGCACAAGAUCCUGGGUUCAAUCCCCAGCACCUCCA
Molecule: transfer RNA, 80 nt
Filed under: Camelus bactrianus (Bactrian camel)
Lineage: Eukaryota; Metazoa; Chordata; Mammalia; Artiodactyla; Camelidae
Also listed under: 2 other names
Rfam family: tRNA
About the family: Transfer RNA (tRNA) molecules are approximately 80 nucleotides in length. Their secondary structure includes four short double-helical elements and three loops (D, anti-codon, and T loops). Further hydrogen bonds mediate the characteristic L-shaped molecular structure. tRNAs have two regions of fundamental functional importance: the anti-codon, which is responsible for specific mRNA codon recognition, and the 3' end, to which the tRNAs corresponding amino acid is attached (by aminoacyl-tRNA synthetases). tRNAs cope with the degeneracy of the genetic code in two manners: having more than one tRNA (with a specific anti-codon) for a particular amino acid; and 'wobble' base-pairing, i.e. permitting non-standard base-pairing at the 3rd anti-codon position.
Source: Rfam by way of RNAcentral